CCUCAUCUCGCUCCUGUCAACGAACCAACUUAAUAUUGCGAGCAAUGUCAACGACCUCCUCAAAAGUAGCACCAGACACCCUCUCCCUAGUCAUGAGAAUUCGAAGCUAAUAUGUGAGGCUAUCAACGAACCUCCUAAUCCUCUCUUUAUCUAUAGGAACCAACCAAACAACAUGACGAUCUAACUCCAAGAACCUCAUUUAAUACUGCAUCAAAGUUAUAUCUACCUGACGCAACUGCAAGCCUGUGGAACAUACUUCCCUGAAAAGAGAGCGGAGAACUAUUGCCAGGUAAGGGGUGAUGCACCAACAGGCCUACGCCUCUCAUAAGCCUCCCACCAAGUGAAGGCAGCUCUAGAAAGCUGAAAAGUAGUAAAUGCGACCCUGCUGGUCUCAAGAAUACCCGUUAUACGAAGCAUUUUCUGACACUUGUCAAAGAAACCCUAGCAUCCUCG
RNAcentral lists this long non-coding RNA (453 nucleotides) under Nicotiana benthamiana. RNAcentral describes it as "long non-coding RNA (NBEN_LNC011457)". The record is from RNAcentral. Lineage: Eukaryota; Viridiplantae; Streptophyta; Magnoliopsida; Solanales; Solanaceae.